AAAGUGGAGCAAUCCAUGAGUAGAGUGGCAAACGGGUGAGUAACACGUGGGUGACCUGCCUUCGAGCGGGGGAUAACGUCCCGAAAGGGACGCUAAUACCGCAUGACAUCCUGCUUUUUAAUAGGCGGAGAUCAAAGCCGGGGAUCGCAAGACCUGGCACUCGAAGAGGGGCCCGCGCCUGAUUAGCUAGUUGGAGAGGUAAUGGCUCACCAAGGCGACGAUCAGUAUCCGGCCUGAGAGGGCGGACGGACACACUGGGACUGAGACACGGCCCAGACUCCUACGGGAGGCAGCAGUGGGGAAUUGUUCGCAAUGGGCGCAAGCCUGACGACGCAACGCCGCGUGGAGGAUGAAGAUCUUCGGGUCGUAAACUCCUUUCGAUCGAGACGAAUGGCCUUCGGGUGAACAAUCCGGAGGAAUGACGGUACCGAGAGAAGAAGCCCCGGCUAACUCCGUGCCAGCAGCCGCGGUAAUACGGGGGGGGCAAGCGUUGUUCGGAAUUACUGGGCGUAAAGGGCUUGUAGGUGGCCAACCAAGUCAGACGUGAAAUCCCUCGGCUUAACCGGGGAACUGCGUCUGAUACUGGAUGGCUUGAGUGUGGGAGAGGGAUGCGGAAUUCCAGGUGUAGCGGUGAAAUGCGUAGAUAUCUGGAGGAACACCGGUGGCGAAGGCGGCAUCCUGGACCAUUACUGACACUGAAAAGCGAAAGCCAGGGGAGCAAACGGGAUUAGAUACCCCGGUAGUCCUGGCCCUAAACGAUGAAUGCUUGGUGUGGCGGGUAUCGAU
This 786-nucleotide ribosomal RNA is filed under the name uncultured Bacillota bacterium. RNAcentral describes it as "bacterial SSU rRNA". It matches the Rfam family "Bacterial small subunit ribosomal RNA", at positions 71 to 836 of the family's 1533-position model. The record is from RNAcentral. Lineage: Bacteria; Bacillati; Bacillota.